UCGGCUUGUUGUUGGAUAUUUCUCAAUGGAUAUCAAGACGUUGCAGCUUCAGAGGGUUUAUGAGAAACAAUACUAUUCCCAGUAUCAGUCAUACACAUAUAUCAACUUCCCACCAUCAUUGUUGUCUUCGAGGAGAAUAUGAAGCGAUUUGGUGGAGUUGUCAUCAGAUCAGCUUUCUGAGUUCAAAGCAACCGCGGUUCCAAUAGCAUGGGCUUGUGAGUUGUCACAGACGUGAUCACCUACCUUUCUGACACUGAUGCAUGGCGCAUGACAGUGAAUUUCACCUGGCAGUAGUCGUGUGUAUGGUGAUCUUGUUUUCAUGGUACUUCUAGCUUUGAUCGUACUGUAACAAAUGAUGUGGCUGUUCCCAGCCUAAGAAUGUGACAGUGAAAUGAAGAGUUUCAAUCAACA
Long non-coding RNA from Hordeum vulgare subsp. vulgare (domesticated barley), 411 nucleotides. RefSeq lists it as uncharacterized. The record is from RefSeq and is a predicted model, not a curated record. The transcript has 2 exons. NCBI's taxonomy places the organism in Eukaryota, Viridiplantae, Streptophyta, Magnoliopsida, Poales, Poaceae.